GCCGGGUGUGGUGGCGCGCACCUGUAAUCCCAGCUACUCAGGAGGCUGAGGCAGGAGAAUCGCUUGAACCCAGGAGGCGGAGGUUGCAGUGAGCUGAGAUUACGCCACUGCUCUCCAGCCUGGGCAACAGAGCGAGACUCCAUCUCAA
RNAcentral lists this non-coding RNA (148 nucleotides) under Homo sapiens (human). Lineage: Eukaryota; Metazoa; Chordata; Mammalia; Primates; Hominidae. The record is from Rfam by way of RNAcentral.